This 177-nucleotide non-coding RNA is filed under the name Bacillus sp. (in: firmicutes). The record is from RNAcentral. Lineage: Bacteria; Bacillati; Bacillota; Bacilli; Caryophanales; Bacillaceae.
AUUGAAUAGAUUAGGAUAGGUGCACGAAUAUGUGCUUAAUAGGGAAGUACGGUUUAAAUCCGUCACGGUACCCGCCACUGUAUGGGGAGUUUAUUGCAGAUGUCACUGAAGGAAUUCGGGAAGACGCAAUGGAUGAUGAACCUAAGUCAGGAGACCUGCCUUUACCUAAUAACUUCA